UACGAAGGGGGCUAGCGUUGUUCGGAAUUACUGGGCGUAAAGCGCACGCAGGUGGCUGAGUCAGUCGAUUGUGAAAGCCCUGGGCUUAACCUGGGAAUUGCAGUCGAUACUACUCGGCUCGAGUAUGGGAGAGGGCAGUGGAAUUCCCGGUGUAGCGGUGAAAUGCGUAGAUAUCGGGAGGAACAUCAGUGGCGAAGGCGGCUGCCUGGCCCAAUACUGACACUCAGGUGCGACAGCGUGGGGAGCAAACAGG
This 253-nucleotide ribosomal RNA is filed under the name uncultured bacterium. RNAcentral describes it as "partial 16S ribosomal RNA". It matches the Rfam family "Bacterial small subunit ribosomal RNA", at positions 524 to 776 of the family's 1533-position model. The record is from RNAcentral.